This 842-nucleotide long non-coding RNA is filed under the name Olea europaea subsp. europaea. The record is from RNAcentral. Lineage: Eukaryota; Viridiplantae; Streptophyta; Magnoliopsida; Lamiales; Oleaceae.
UUUGAAACCAAAAUUAAGAUUUGCUGGACAUAUUUUUUCUCUACCUACAAUGAGAAACAACAGUAGGUCAUAUGAUGGUUUGAACACAAUGGGAAUAUAUGUGAACACAUAGAAGCUUGUAAUUCACCACCGCUUAGUCAGUGACAAAGGCUAAAUUACGUAGGUCAUAUGAUGGUUUGAACCAUUCUUUAUAUGACUACUUAUUAACAAACUCGUGAAUGGUGCUGAUAAUGACCACUUCAUGCUCAACAUAAAUGAAUUGGAUAAAUUUUUAUAAUCAUCAUAGUAAUGUGUGGAAUCAGGAAUUGUUACCUUGAAAAAAUAUGUAUCUUGUCUAACCCGUGCACCAAAUAUAUCCUAAAUGUUUGGCUCUAUUGGCAAAUUAGAAAUUAUAAACUAACAAAUAUAACUACGAUAAAAAAUGGUUUAUCUUGAAAUAUGUCUAAAUACUUCUCAAUUAAUUCAGCCAUCUUUAAGUCCAAAUACAUGGUACAUACACACAAGGACCACAUUAAAUAGACAAGAUUGUUGCUCCAAUUAGAGGUACUACAAUUGUAUGAACUUUGAUGAACAAGUUGCACAUAGAAAUUACGUGCGAGGAGACAAGUUGACAAAGUUGCGAAAAGGUGUUUUUGAUUUCAUAUACGUGUCAUGAGAAUUGAUGAAAGUCUGCUUAUUUCUCCAAGCCCAAGAUAUGUCACACGUGCUCUAACAUUUUGGAAUAAAAUAGAGCCAAUUUAUCUUUGAAUUUGAGAUGGCUGAAGGUGGUUUAUAACAUCAAUCAUCAUCAUAAUCUAUGCAACUAAAUAUGUCAUGUUAAUGGUAAAAAAUUUUGUUGUCCG